CACACGCACUAUCAAGAUCUGGAUUUAUGCUAAUCGACUGACUGUUAUAUGUAAAUUUCUAUAAAGACCAAACUAGGAUCUAUGAGAAAAAAACUAUCUUCGUGAUAAGAUCAUCUUAAAGUACGAAGAGAUUGAGCUUUAUUAAAAAUAUACCUAGCCAUACUCCUGCUUCCGUUGCAACUGAAUGCGUAGGUAAACAAAUACUACAGUUGAUAUGAUACUACAUUUAUUUUUUCGUAUAAGCUAAACGACACGAUACACUUAGUGAUUUGUCUAAGAUAAGAGACACCUUAUAGUAACUCAAUUUCCCAACCGGUAUGAAAAUUUAUAUCCCAAAUUGAUCUAAAGUUAAACUGAGAAAGCACAAGGAAAAACUUUAGCUAAGAAGAAUGAUCAAAUGAUGGCAAAUAAAGAACAUGUAGCAGAUCAUUUAGGAGAAUAUUAAAUAGUAGAGAAGAAAUGGUCGUAUGCAAGAAUAAUAAACUAGUCUGAAGUCUUGUAUACUAAUGUUCCAUUAGAGCAAGAGCAUCAGUGAACCCCUUUUUGGGGUUCAUCUUCUUAAUUUUUUAUUAUUAAAUUUUUUCCUUUUUUUUGAUUUUAUUUAAAAAAAAAUAAAUUGACCAAUCACGAGUCGCCACGUGUCGUGGGGCCCGCGCUACAGUGAUGAACUUUAGGAGAGAGGAUAUCACACAGGAGAGGCGAGACGAACCAAAUUCACCGCUUUUGCUUUUUUUAAUAUUUUUUUUUCUUCGUAAAACGUGUGAUACUCUCCUUUAAACCUCUAAUGCUCAUGGCCUUAGUAUAUUAACCAGUGGGAUAGAGCUCUUUUUAUUCCAUUAACCGCAAUGGGUUGAUAGUUAACGAGUGAUCCACUAAAUUUCCACUUAAUUAAUUGACAUAGGAAUGUAGGGUCGUUAGCAAUAUUCUUUUUAACAAACAAAAAUUUAUUAGCAAUGCUCCUUUUUUUUGAGAACUAAUACUCUUAAUUAUUUUUUUUCUUAAUACUUUUAACAACGUUACUCAAACG
RNAcentral lists this long non-coding RNA (1027 nucleotides) under Brassica rapa (field mustard). RNAcentral describes it as "long non-coding RNA (BRAP_LNC002171)". Lineage: Eukaryota; Viridiplantae; Streptophyta; Magnoliopsida; Brassicales; Brassicaceae. The record is from RNAcentral.